UACGAAGGGGGCUAGCGUUGCUCGGAAUUACUGGGCGUAAAGGGCGCGUAGGCGGAUGUUUAAGUCGGGGGUGAAAGCCCGGGGCUCAACCUCGGAAUUGCCUUCGAUACUGGACAUCUUGAGUUCGGGAGAGGUGAGUGGAAUGCCGAGUGUAGAGGUGAAAUUCGUAGAUAUUCGGCGGAACACCAGUGGCGAAGGCGACUCACUGGCCCGAUACUGACGCUGAGGCGCGAAAGCGUGGGGAGCAAACAGG
Molecule: ribosomal RNA, 253 nt
Filed under: uncultured bacterium
Lineage: Bacteria
Description: partial 16S ribosomal RNA
Rfam family: Bacterial small subunit ribosomal RNA
Source: RNAcentral